This is a long non-coding RNA of Ictalurus punctatus (channel catfish), 7953 nucleotides long. Lineage: Eukaryota; Metazoa; Chordata; Actinopteri; Siluriformes; Ictaluridae. The record is from Ensembl.
CCUUCCUCUCUCUCUCCACGGCUUUCACACACACAUUCACACUCUCACGCUUAUACAUUCCUUCCUCCAGGAAAGGAUUAGUUGUGAAUACCUGUCUGUUCCUGCUGCCUGAGUACCCACUCUAAUGAGGCUGAUUUAAAUGCAGCCCUUAAAAACUGCUAAGCAGCCGCAGCGAUUUAUUUAUGUUGAGCCAAAGCUCCAUCUGCUUGAUCACUUUCUUCCUGUGUGUCUGGCGUAUUGUAGAUUUCUAUACGUGUUCCAAUGUGUACAUCGCAUGUCUUGGGACAUCAUUCAAAGGAACCAAAACAUAACUUGAUGAAUUUUGAUGAAUCGUCUUAUACAGCAUAGGUUCUCAACCUCGGGGUCGGCCGAGAUGUGAAAAGAGGAGGAUUUCUACAGACCGUCAUUGCAUGUAGGAUAUAUGCAUGUACUGUAUUGUCUUGAUGUACGGAAUACGUUUAUGAUAAGUAAAAUGUAGAUUUUUUUUUUUUUUUUCUUUUGGCCCGGCAUGCUCAUGGGUUUUCGCUAGAACAUCAAGUGGGCUUUUAUUGACAUUUCUCCAUAUAGCUUGUAUACAUUGGAGCGAAAUGUCGUUUCUCCAAGACGAUCGACGGUGCAACGCGCAACAGUAGAGUACUACAGUACGCAAUACUACAUACAAUGCAAAUACAUUUAAAAAAAAAAAAAAAAAAUGAGUGAGAUGAGUGCAGGACAAUAAAUACGCAACAAUUUAUGCAGAACAAUAAAUACAAAGGAGAAUAAAUAAAUAGAACUAAUACACAGAACAAUAAAUACAAAGGAAAAUAUAUCAAUAGAACAAUAAUAAAUACUGUACACGGAACGAUAUACGCAGAACAACAGACGAGCGUUGCGUGGGAAAGCUGUUCUACUAUUGUGUAGUGUAACAGCAGUGUAGCAGCAAUCCAAUAUUCAUAUCUUGUAGUGUAUGCCCAUAAUCUGAACAACACACGGGUGAUAUUUCGCUCUACAGCAGCACUGUUGGUUAAAAUCCUUCUUCAAUUUAAAAAAAAAAAGUUUUAAAUGUCACAAAGUGUAGGUGUGAAAAUUGCAUUAAUGACACACUUUGUGAUGAUAUACCGUACAGUGGUAAUGAAUAUUAAUAAUACAUACCGAUAUUUGCAAGAAACCCUGACGCACACCAGCCGCGACUCUCGUGAACGUUUGAAGUGAGAUGCAACUCGACUGAUCCGACCAACGCGACUAACUAGCACGUGUUUAUUUACAGGAAGCGGGGUUCUAUGCCAUCGGGUUCAUCAAAUCUAGCUUUAAAUAAGAACGUUACCGAGAGUCCUGCAGGUUGUGCGCUUAUUUACAGGAGCACACUGUGAAUGUUUAGAGUCGUAGUGCUUUUCACUGGGAGGACGGUGUGGUGGAACAUGUACUGUAUUACAUGUACUGUAGUAUCAUGUCCAUGGGGAUGACGUCAGGCAGAAGUGUCUCACCCACUCACUGUGCAACGAUGAAUCUGUGCGACAUGGAAAUUGUUCUCGCGUUGAUCGUGUUGAUCCCGAGCUCAAAAGGAGGAACCCGAGUGCCCACAAAUGACUUUGUUAGUGCGUUGGUACUUGAACAAUACUAAUGGGGAAACAGCUUUUUUCUUUUUUUCUUUUUUUCUUCUUACCAGCGGUUAAGAAAUCUUUCAUCUUCCAAAUCCCCCGGUGACACGGUACUCUGUCGACGUGUCCUUCCUCUGACCACUAGCAUGUGGCCUUGGGCGAAGCAAUUAACCUCAAGCCACUGCAGGGGUGUUGCAACAUGGCAACUCUGUCUCCCCUUCCUCUCUCUCUCCUCGUCCUCCCAAGGGCACACGCGUAAAUGAGAACAUUUUUAACAUGCCUUAUAAAAUAAAGGUUAGGAAGCAUCCCCGUUUCUUUCCUGCGCACAUGGCAGACGUGUUUCCUCUCACGGGUUAUCUGUGGCCAGUCAUCCACAGAUCGUUUAUCCAGUCUCAUGAUCAUCGGCGUGUACGUUCCUUUUAUCAUCGUAUAUUGACUGCUGACAUAGCUGGCGCGUGUUGGCAUCUCCGGUGUGACGAUUGCGGGGGCGAGAGAGCGAUUCCGCCGCACGCUAUUCCUUUUUGAAUAGGUUUAUUAAUAAUAUGGCAGGUGUGAUGUAAAGCGAUGUCAGUUAUUGAACCCCCUUUUUCUUUAAACACCCUCAUUUUAAACACUCGAGAAUUUGCAAAGAAAUGGGUCAUAAGUGACGUGAGAAAUGAAACGUUCCGUGUCGUGCGAAGUGAGAGAUGUUAGGAAUUCCUUCGUUAUUAUCGGCGCAAACUAGUACGGAUCCGGACAGGUUAAAAGCUUUCAUCGCUGCAGUUAAGCACAUGUAGCACACCUCAUUUAUGAUCUACAGUUAACUCUAGCACAGUGUACGAGUCUUUUUAACGGGUCCCGAGCGCUCCUGCCUUUAAUAACGCACUCACGUAGAGUCGCAUUAGGAUCUGAGAGCUAAUAAGUUCCACAAAGAUUUAGCCUUUGCUUUUUAACUGAUAUUAUUGAGGAGUUUGCUUGGUCUGUGGCAAUAAUAGUGAUUUAAACUAUAAUAAAAGAUUUUAGAAAUCUUAAGAGCUCUUCGGUAGAACCCUGUCGGAACGGAUUCCACAUGGAACCAUUUUAGAAAGCUAAGGAACCCUUUUUCGACGCUUUUAUUUGGACACGGGGCAAUUCCACACACUGCCGUGUUUGUUUUUUGGGGUCAAAUUGCCCGUGUGUUUGAAUAUGCUCGUGCAGAGUGACCCGCGAUGGAUUGGAGUCCCAUCGAAUGGUGUCUUCCCACCUUGCUCCCAGUAUUCCCAAGAUCUAGACCUCUCGACACGUCCCUGACGAGGAUAAAGCUGAACGUUCAGUGAAUAACCCAACAUGAAUCCAAAUAAAUGUAUCGAAAGAGGGUUCAUCGGAUCGUCAAAGGCCCGUCGCUUUCCCGAAACGGUUCCAUGUGGAACCCUUUCUGAUGGGGUUCUACCGAAGAGCUCUUAAGAUUUCUAAAAUCGGAGAACCCGAAGGAAACCCCGACGAGAACACGCAAAGCCCUGUACGGACGGUCAGGGUUGAGCAGGGUUGAUGCGGUCAUCCAUGCCGCCCGUGAUGUUUAUCAAUCAAGUGAAAUUAGGCUUGGUCAUAAAAAAGAAAGGACGGUAGAAAGAAAGAGAGACUUGUGUAACACUCUCUGAUAACCGCGAGACACAUCGGCGUUCACACUGAAGCCAAACCAACAAGUCCUCCCUCUCUACAAUGCUAUUGUAAUUCAGCCGAUCAGCAGGGAGUCAUGUUCCUGUUGCGUUAUCUCGCUCUAUUUCCUUUCUCUCAAAGUUAACAGUCGCUCUGUGGUCUUGACCAGAUCUAUUGCUAUUUCUUUCUUUCUUUCUUUUUUUUUUUUUAAAAAGACCCGAAUCUGUUUAAUUUCCAAACCUUUCAAGGCAUGCCAUGUUGGCUCGAGCAUUUCUGCAGGCGUGACUUUUAUCUCCCUCACGCACAGAGCCAUUGUCUCUCUUCUGGCGUUAUUCGGGCCACUACUUCCAUUCUGCCAGUGGAAGGGGGAAAAAAAAGCUUCCUCUUGGUGGCACAAGGUGAUAGAUUGAGUAAAACCUGCUGACUGUUUCAUUCGGUCUCCUCCCUCAAAUCCCUCACUCCACCUCACCGUUCAGCCUACAGUGAUGGAUGGAAUGUCUGUCUCUUUAUCCCUGGCAUGACUGAGCAGAAAAGUGACGUAGUGGACAAGGGGAAGGAACUUAAAAAAAAAAAAAGAGCCAGCAAACAUAUUGUCCUCCGCCUCCCUGUGGUCACCAUGCUUAGGUCACUCACAGUUCAGCCAGCCUUCCACUGGGUGACUAAUGAUAGAUUUCCUCCCUCUUUAAUUCUCUCAUCCCCCCCUUGUAGCUGCUCCUGUGACUUUUGAGGCAGCAAGCUACCAGGAAAUACAUCAUCCACUGCUGAGCGAUUGCUUAAAUUAGCUUACAGGCAAAGACCUCGCAAAGGUUCAACGUUUUUUUCUGUUAAAGUUAUGCUCGCCUCCGUGACUCCAUUAAUUAUGCACGCUAUGAGCUCUGAUUGGGAGGCAGGCACGGUCGUCUUCUUGGGGGGGGGGUUCAAAGUUCAUUCUAAAAACAUUGAUCGUCGAUUGCGCCGUCACGACUAGGGAACUGGAAUUUUACGUUCUCCAGAAACAAACGCUAGAGUUUCCCGAUUAUUUUGAGUUUACGAAUAGCUCGUUAUUUUCCUUCCGAGAAUGAUUUUAGUUACAGAGAGCUCUGCCAGAUAUUAUGCGCCAUCUUCUCCAACACUGAUAUUCUUUAUGCUAUUUAAUAAAGGAACUGUCCAGGCUUCUGUUCAAAGCCUUAGUAUAUUUAAGCAGACGAGAGAACUUUCUCACAAAAGAAAGCUUCUGUCCAACAAAUUCCCAAUUGAAUUUGUUUCCUUGCCUGCUUAGCGGAGCCUUGGCGGAUGGUGUGUUGGUGACCAUUUGGAUGGGGCUGGCUGGCAAGAGCGAGUGUCAUGUUUGAAGGCUUCCCAGUGCUCCCACUGAGCCUUUUUCAGCUCCUGCCCAUGUGUGAGCUGAAAUAGACUUUGGAGCUAAUCUCGCUUCCACUGAUCCACAAAGUUAAAAUGGGAGACGAGAUCAGAGGCGUGGAGCUAAACUUUUCUGUCACUCUACCAAGUCCGAGUCUGUAUUAAUGUUUUGUAAUAAAGUAUUGAGUAAAUUUUCCAUCUGGCAAAGUGUCAAAAGAGGGACAGGAGAGCUAUGAUGAUAUGAAAUUCAUCGUGUGGCACAGAAUGUCAUGGGUUUUGAUAUUUGGAAAUAUCUCAAUGGUGGUACUUUUAAGACAGACUCCUUAAUAAGUAGUCUAUCCAUAUUAACACCGCGGUUUACUCUGAUUUUUCACCUGAUGCAUCUUGAACUGGUACUCGACUCAUGGAACGUCGUGCACAUGAAUGAGGUGCAAAUUGCGUUUUAUAAGCCAGUGAGGAAAAUGGUCUAAAACGUAGAAGGAAAAGAAAAGAAAAAAGUAAUAACUCUAAAAUAAAAUAACCACAGAGCUGUCAGAAAUCUCAGGACUAGGCGAAUGAAGAAUAAUUCGUACUGGCGAAAUGUUUUGAAUGUCAAUGUGCUGGAUUUCAUGCCAAAAGCGGCUUAAUGGAUAAACAUGAUUAAAAGUCAUAGUUUCUCUGAAUAGUGCUUCGGCUCGGGUUCGAAAAAUGUUUCCGUGUCAUUCUUACACAUUUAUGAAUAAUAAAUAAACCCUAUCUGUUAGAACAAAUAAAAACCAACUCGCUCGGAGUUUAAAAGUUUGCCUGAAAACUAUGGAUCUGGCAACGUGCGUACUCCUAAUAUACACUUGCUUUUUGGCGCGGACAGAAUUACACAUCUGCUGCUAAUUGCUGAAAAUGUAGUACGUGGAGCGGAAUAUGUCAAUCGGCCGCGCUUCCCAUUUCUCUACCCUUGUUUGCUCUGACGUCCCACUUUUGUUCCAUCCAUGUUUAAAGAGAUGUGGACUUGCUUAAAUUGUGCAUUUAGGCGUGUACAAUAGGUUCAUACAUAACAUGCGAGGUAUUCCACACAGAAUUAUGCCUGAAGAGCUCAACAAGAAGUGUUUUCUUUAAGGCACUGAUAAUCGACUUCAUGCCUUAUCCGAAAGUUAGUAAACAAAGGCACUGUGUUGUGGUAGUCAAUCAGUACGUUUCCAUGGACGACGAUAUUCCGAUAUUAACCCGAUUAAGACGACACUCUGAUUAAGAAACUAGCACGUAAACAGCGAUUAUUGACGACCUUAAUCCGAUUAAAGUCAUACUCGAAGUAAACACAGAUGGAAUUAAGACGUGUGGCGUAUUCCCGUGUUAGUCGACGUGCGUUACAGACACGUACACACCUUAAUCACACUAUUAACGUCGUGUGAGAGUUUUCACUACAUUGUGCGACAGGACACGUACACACACCGCAGCUCGACCGUUUGACGGCGAACGAGAGAGCACGGCCGCGUCCGAAACCGCGUGCUUACCUGCUACGGUAUAUAGCAGGCGAAAUACUUGUAUCUGAGCUACUAUAUAGACGGUAAGUACGCGGUUUGGGACGCAGCCCGCACCUUCAAGCAGUCGUCUAUCGGCGCGUACGGCACGACGAAUAAUUAACUGCACUUCCGUGAAAUUAAAAAUAAAAUCUCCAAAAAUUGUUUACGGUACCUUAACGAAAACGAACAGUAUGUCGAUACGUGAAAUUCUGGAGCGGACGGCGUGACGCGGGGACGUGAUGACGUGUGCCGUUAAUCGCUCCGUGUUCUAUGACGUGUAAAACGGGAACACGGAAGGAGUAUUCUAAAAGCGACUCGUGUAAACACCUUAAUCAGAAUAUUGUCUUAUUCAGAAUAAGGUCAAUCAUUAGAUUACCGCUGUCCGUGUAAACGUAGUCAAUGUCAUGCAAGAGAGGCAUUUGCCACAAAUCUUUUAUGGCCUGAGAAAUGAAUGAGCUUGACUCCAACUUGUACACAAACAUUCUGAUCAUGAAGACCUCUGCCUAAUCCAUGUUUAGUAAUAAGGAACUAUGCGAGACCUUUUCUCAGGCACCUUUCAUCGUUCAGGAUCGUGUAUAGUACGUUUUUCCUUUAGUUUCGAAACACUCUUUUCCUGAAGGGUAAUAAGACAAAAAUGAAACAGAAUCAAAACCACAAGGCGCAAAAGUCCUGAAGAUUGCGUAGCACUGUAACCGGAGACUCCUUCCUUAAAUGCUUAAACGUCCACCGUACAGAAAGCUUCACCGUAUCACCGAGCGCUUUAAUGCCGUCAUUUAAAUUACAGCCGGAACCGCUACUGUCCCGGCCACGCGGUUAUAGAAGACCUUCAGAUUUGAGAACACAACAGUGCUGGGUGUAUGUACUCUUUAACCGGGAAAAAAAGUAAAUAAAUCUUCGUCUAGGAAACCUGACAGGAUUUCGGUUUUACCUGCUGCAUAACUCAAACUCCUUAGCCUGAGAAAGUACAGCUUUCAACUGCUCUCAGGCAGAAAAGUACUAUAACACAAUGUUCUUCAACAAAGGUCACGGAGUGAAACAGGGUGGAAAAAAAAGUGGUGGGGGGUUUAAAAAAAAACAAAAAACCUGAAGCUAUUUUGAAAUAUCGCAGAGUAGCUAACCGUAUAUUGAACAAGCAUUCGUCUUCAUUUGACUGCAUCCGUUUUUUUUUUUCAUAGUGCUAAUGAGUUUUUAGGUUUUUGGGCUCCUUUUCAUCUGAAACGUAAGCAAAUUUUUUUUCUUUUUUUCCCUUCUUCUUCUUUAAACCGACUGCUGUGCUUCAGUUUAGACCUUCUCCUGUGAGAGGACUGUAAUUCAGUAAUAUAACCGCUGCUCUGCACAGUUUGGUCCCUGAUUCACUUUCAUGCUGAACACUGUAAAAAGGGAAAAGAAAAAAAAAGAAAAAAAAAAAAGAGUGGGGUGGGGGGGGGAUUUCUGGCUGGAAGGACUCUCUCUAGUCCUCUGUUCUUUCUCACAGCUCUUCAAAGUAAUUCGGAACGACACGCACUUCAUUAGACACGUCUUUGACUGAAGGCUGCAGAGAUGCGUUUCCGCCUCUUCGAGCACUUAGGGCCUUCAUUUCAGCAGAGGGAAUCAAUAAGACAAUUUUUCUGUCCUUUCUGCGCCGCGACUACCACUGCUGGUUUUUUAAAGCUUUGCUGCAAGUGAACAAAUUUGCACUUGCGACCACGGGUAUGCAAGACGGGAGAGGUGCACGAGCGCGUGCACGAGCGUGUGUUUUUUCUCUGUUAAACCAACUGGGAUUCUGCGUGUUUUUUAUUAUACGUCUGCGAGACGUGAGCGGAAUUAUAAGCGAACAAACCUGAAAUGGAUAGCCUCUGUAUUUUCAUUAUCGGCGUUUUAUUUAUAUAAUCGUUUUAACUUGGCCCUCGAGUGGCACGCUCGAAUCCGGUCAGUCGAGGUUCACGUCG